UGCGUAGGCGGAUCAAUAAGUCAGUGGUGAAAUCUCUCGGCUCAACCGGGAAACUGCCAUUGAUACUGUUGAUCUUGAGUUCGGUUGAGGUAGGCGGAAUGUGUAAUGUAGCGGUGAAAUGCUUAGAUAUUACACAGAACACCAAUUGCGUAGGCAGCUUACUAGACCGACACUGACGCUGAGGCACGAAAGCGUGGGGAGCGAACAGGAUUAGAUACCAUGGUAGUCC
RNAcentral lists this ribosomal RNA (229 nucleotides) under uncultured bacterium. Its description in RNAcentral is "partial 16S ribosomal RNA". It matches the Rfam family "Bacterial small subunit ribosomal RNA", at positions 568 to 796 of the family's 1533-position model. The record is from RNAcentral.